RNAcentral lists this ribosomal RNA (497 nucleotides) under uncultured bacterium. RNAcentral describes it as "partial 16S ribosomal RNA". It matches the Rfam family "Bacterial small subunit ribosomal RNA", at positions 28 to 507 of the family's 1533-position model. The record is from RNAcentral.
GAUGAACGCUGGCGGCGUGCCUAAUACAUGCAAGUCGAGCGAACGGACGAGAAGCUUGCUUCUCUGAUGUUAGCGGCGGACGGGUGAGUAACACGUGGAUAACCUACCUAUAAGACUGGGCUAACUUCGGGAAACCGGAGCUAAUACCGGAUAAUAUUUUGAACCGCAUGGUUCAAAAGUGAAAGACGGUCUUGCUGUCACUUAUAGAUGGAUCCGCGCUGCAUUAGCUAGUUGGUAAGGUAACGGCUUACCAAGGCAACGAUGCAUAGCCGACCUGAGAGGGGGAUCGGCCACACUGGAACUGAGACACGGUCCAGACUCCUACGGGAGGCAGCAGUAGGGAAUCGUCCGCAAUGGGCGAAAGCCUGACGGAGCAACGCCGCGUGAGUGAUGAAGGUCUUCGGAUCGUAAAACUCUGUUAGUAGGGAAGAACAUAUGUGUAAGUAACUGUGCACAUCUUGACGGUACCUAAUCAGAAAGCCACGGCUAACUACGUG